RNAcentral lists this ribosomal RNA (479 nucleotides) under uncultured bacterium. Its description in RNAcentral is "bacterial SSU rRNA". It matches the Rfam family "Bacterial small subunit ribosomal RNA", at positions 328 to 793 of the family's 1533-position model. The record is from RNAcentral.
UGACAGUACUCCUACGGGAGGCAGCAGUGGGAAUAUUGCAACAAUGGGCGCAAGCCUGAUGCAGCCAUGCCGCGUGUGUGAAGAAGGCCUUCGGGUUGUAAAGCACUUUCAGUUGUGAGGAAGGUGGUGUUGUGAAUAGCAGCAUCAUUUGACGUUAGCAACAGAAGAAGCACCGGCUAACUCCGUGCCAGCAGCCGCGGUAAUACGGAGGGUGCGAGCGUUAAUCGGAAAUUACUGGGCGUAAAAGCGCAUGCAGGUGGUUUGUUAAAGUCAGAUGUGAAAAGCCCCGGGCUCAAACCUGGAAUUGCAUUUGAAAAACUGGCAAAACUAGAGUACUGUAGAGGGGGUAGAAUUUCAGGUGUAGCGGUGAAAAUGCGUAGAGAUCUGAAGGAAUACCGGUGGCGAAGGCGGCCCCUGGACAGAUACUGACACUCAGAUGCGAAAGCGUGGGGAGCAAACAGGAUUAGAUACCCUGGUAG